AGCAUUAGGUGGUCAUCAAAAUGC
Molecule: non-coding RNA, 24 nt
Filed under: Arabidopsis thaliana (thale cress)
Lineage: Eukaryota; Viridiplantae; Streptophyta; Magnoliopsida; Brassicales; Brassicaceae
Source: RNAcentral